AUGCAUGGGAUGAUGAGAUCCCGCGCUCUCCUGCUCGUCGCCGUCGUCCUGACGGCGCAGCUGUGCGCGUGCACGGCGUACGCCGGCAGCGGUGGCGAUGGGUUUAGCGUGGAGUUCAUCCACCGUGACUCGGUCAGGUCGCCGUUCCACGACCCGACGCUCACCGCGCCCGCCCGCGUGCUGGAGGCCGCGCGGCGGUCCGCGGCCCGCGCCGCGGCGCUCUCGCGCUCCUACGUCCGCGCCGACGCGCCCUCAGCUGACGGCUUCGUGUCCGAGGUCACGUCCAGGUCGUCCGAGUACCUGAUGGCCGUGAACAUAGGCACGCCGCCCACUCCUAUGGUCGCCAUCGCCGACACCGGCAGCGACCUCAUCUGGCUCAAUUGCAGCUCCGGAGGUGACGGUCCUGGUCUGGCGGCCGCCCGUGACGCGGACGCGCAGUCGCCGGGCGUCCAGUUCGACCCCUCCAAUUCGACGACGUUCAGCCUCGUGGACUGCGACUCCGGCGCGUGCGGCGAGCUGCCCGACGCAGCCUGUGGCACCGACUCCAAGUGCAGGUACUCAUACUCCUACGGCGACGGCUCCCACACGAGCGGCGUCCUCUCCACAGAGACCUUCACCUUCGCCGACGCCCCGGGCGCCCGCGGCGAUGGGACGACGCGCGUGGCCCACGUCAACUUCGGCUGCUCCACGACCUUCGUCGGCACGUUCAUCGGGGACGGCCUCGUCGGCCUCGGCGGCGGCGACCUCUCCCUCGUCAGUCAGCUCGGCGCAGACACCUCGCUGGGCCGGAGGUUCUCCUACUGCCUCGUGCCCUACUCCGUCAUGGCCUCCUCCGCGCUCAACUUCGGCUCCCGGGCCGCCGUGACGGAUCCGGGCGCGGCGGCGACGCCGCUGAUCCCAUCUCAAGUGAAGGCAUACUACACCGUCGAGCUCCGGUCCGUCAAGGUCGGGAGCAAGACCUUCGCGGCGCCGGACCAGUCCCCCGUCAUCGUCGACUCCGGCACGACGCUCACAUACCUCCCGGAAGCGCUUUUAGACCCACUUGUGAAGGAGCUGACACAGCGGAUCAAGCUCCCGCCUGCCCAGUCGCCAGAAAAGUUCCUGCCACUGUGCUUCGACGUGAGCGGGGUGCCGGAUGGGCAGGUUGCGGCCAUGAUCCCUGAGGUGACGCUGGGGCUGGGCGGCGGCGCCGCGGUCACGCUGAAGGCGGAGAACACGUUCGUGGAGGUGCAGGAGGGGACCCUGUGCUUGGCGGUGGCGGCGAAGUCGGAGCAGCUUCCGGCGUCGAUCAUUGGGAACAUCGCCCAGCAGAACAUGCACGUUGGGUACGACCUCGACAAGGGCACCGUGACCUUCGCUCCAGCAGACUGCGCGAGUUCCUACCCCGCACCCUCACCCUCCGGCUCUCUGUAG
RNAcentral lists this ribosomal RNA (1413 nucleotides) under Triticum aestivum (bread wheat). RNAcentral's name for it is "partial small subunit ribosomal RNA". Lineage: Eukaryota; Viridiplantae; Streptophyta; Magnoliopsida; Poales; Poaceae. The record is from RNAcentral.